Molecule: ribosomal RNA, 253 nt
Filed under: uncultured bacterium
Lineage: Bacteria
Description: partial 16S ribosomal RNA
Rfam family: Bacterial small subunit ribosomal RNA
Source: RNAcentral
UACGUAGGGGGCAAGCGUUAUCCGGAUUCACUGGGUGUAAAGGGAGCGUAGACGGCCAUGCAAGCCUGGAGUGAAAGCCCGGGGCCCAACCCCGGGACUGCUCUGGGAACUGUGCGGCUGGAGUGCGGGAGGGGCAGGCGGAAUUCCUGGUGUAGCGGUGAAAUGCGUAGAUAUCAGGAGGAACACCAGUGGCGAAGGCGGUCUGCUGGACAGUAACUGACGGUGAGGCGCGAAAGCGUGGGGAGCAAACAGG